AACGCACCUUGCGCUCCUUGGUAUUCCGAGGAGCAUGCCUGUUUGAGUGUCAUGGAAUUCUCAACCAUGUCUUGAUUGACUUCGAGGCAUGGCUUGGACGGUGGGGGUUGCUGGCGGCGAAAGCCGUCGGCUCUCCUGAAAUGCAUUAGCGAUGGACGGCAAGUCUGACGUGCACGGCCUCGACGUGAUAAUGAUCGUCGUAGCUGGAGCGUCGGACGAGCGCUACAUGUCCCUUUGCUUCCAAUCCUUUGACUUGGGAAUGGGACUUUCGAGCGAAGCUUUAGUUACUAGUCGGUCGUGAGGCCGACGAACGCAGGGCGGGAUCGAAGGUCGGAAGCCCUCGUCUUUCUAGACGACUUGACCUCAAAUCAGGUAGGACUACCCGCUGAACUUAA
RNAcentral lists this unclassified non-coding RNA (395 nucleotides) under uncultured Boletaceae. RNAcentral's name for it is "sequence contains ITS2". The stretch from base 1 to 52 matches the Rfam family "5.8S ribosomal RNA", at positions 103 to 154 of the family's 154-position model. The record is from RNAcentral. Lineage: Eukaryota; Fungi; Basidiomycota; Agaricomycetes; Boletales; Boletaceae.